AUGGCCUCCCAGGAGCAGCCACCAAGUCUGCCGCCGCCGGCGGAACCCGCCGCUACCACCACUCUAACCGGCCUCGGCAGCGACCUCCUCCGUGAGAUAUUCCUCCUGCUCCCGUCCCUGCCGAGCCUCGUGCGCGCGGCCUUCGCCUGCCGCACCUUCCUCGACGCCGUGCGCUCGUCCCCGGCCUUCAGGCGCCGCUUCCGCGAGCUGCACCCGCAGCCGCUCCUGGGCAUCUUCUUCGACCCCGACGGCCCCGCCAUCCCGGCCUUCGCGCCCCUCCGCCGCCGCGACGACCCGGACCGGCGGGCCGCCGUCCGGCGCGGGGACUUCUUCCUCACCGGGCUCCCCGACGACGACGACGACGCGCGCCCCGGCUGGGUCAUCAGCGACUGCCACGACGGCUACCUGGUGCUCGAGCACAUCUACACGCGGGAGGCCCUCGCCUACAACCCGCUCACGCUGGCCCUGGAUCUCCUCCCGCCGCUGCCGGACGAGUUCUACGAGGGCUUCCAGGGCCACUACAACGGCCUCGACUACCACGUCCACGCCCCCGAGGAGUGCCGCGACCACGGGGCGUUCCGCGUGAUCUACGCCUGCCACGACGACUCGCGGGCGCGCGCGGCGGUCUUCUCGUCGGACUCGGGCACCAGGGCGUGACAGGUCCUCCCCUAUUCCGAAGCUCUGAGGACCAUCCCGGAGUCCGGCGAGCGCGAGCACUGGCUUACCGCUGGCAGGAUAGUGGACGGGUUCAUCUACUGGGUGUACUCGGAUGAAGCCGCCAUGCUCGUGCUCGACACCACCACGCUGCACUUCUCUCGGGUAGAUAUCCCAGCCUACUUGAAAGGACAGACCAGCAUGUUCAGGGUUGGCAAGACCAGGGAUGGGGUGCUCUGUGUCGUCGUCGCGAUCGAAUUCAACCUUUAUGUCUGGCUCCGGAACAUUCGCGAUGACGGCGUCGAGGUGUGGGUGAGAGGCCAGCGGUUUCAGUUGGACGACAUUGUUGAGGACACCGGGGGAACACUAGAGGAACACGGCCAGCUCAAGGUUGUGAGCGUUGUCGACGGAGUCGUCUACUUCUCUACCCAUGAGACCUUCGAAGAUGCCAAUCUUCCUUGCUGGUUCCUAUCCAUAGACCUGGAGGAAAACGUCCUGGACAUGCUCUUUCAGAGGAACUAUGACAGUCAUGUCCAUCCCUACAUUAUGCCUUGGCCCCGUUCUUUGGUACGCGACAAGGCGUGUCUUCAAGUUGAAGGCGCUCGAUGA
This 1263-nucleotide ribosomal RNA is filed under the name Triticum aestivum (bread wheat). RNAcentral's name for it is "partial small subunit ribosomal RNA". The record is from RNAcentral. Lineage: Eukaryota; Viridiplantae; Streptophyta; Magnoliopsida; Poales; Poaceae.